This 226-nucleotide ribosomal RNA is filed under the name uncultured bacterium. Its description in RNAcentral is "partial 16S ribosomal RNA". It matches the Rfam family "Bacterial small subunit ribosomal RNA", at positions 111 to 339 of the family's 1533-position model. The record is from RNAcentral.
UAACACGUGAGCAAUCUGCCCUUGACUCUGGGAUAACUGCGGGAAACUGUAGCUAAUACCGGAUACGACCCUUGGAGGCAUCUCUGGGGGUGGAAAGAAUUUCGGUCAAGGAUGAGCUCGCGGCCUAUCAGCUAGUUGGUGAGGUAAUGGCUCACCAAGGCGACGACGGGUAGCCGGCCUGAGAGGGUGACCGGCCACACUGGAACUGAGACACGGUCCAGACUCC